This 34-nucleotide ribosomal RNA is filed under the name Heterosigma akashiwo. RNAcentral's name for it is "partial small subunit ribosomal RNA". The record is from RNAcentral. Lineage: Eukaryota; Raphidophyceae; Chattonellales; Chattonellaceae. RNAcentral also lists the same sequence under 1 other name.
UUUCCGUAGGUGAACCUGCGGAAGGAUCAUUACC